UCAAGCUAAUAAGAGCGCAGGGUGGAUGCCUUGGCACUAAGAGCCGAUGAAAGACGUGAUAAGCUGCGAAAAGCUUCGGGGAGGAGCAAAUAUCCUUUGAUCCGGAGAUAUCUGAAUGGGGAAACCCGGCUGAGAAGACCUCAGUCACUGUAUGGUAAAUACAUAGCCAUACAGAGGGAACCCGGUGAACUGAAACAUCUAAGUAGCCGGAGGAAGAGAAAGAAACAUCGAUUCCGGAAGUAGCGGCGAGCGAACCCGGAAGAGCCCAAACCAGCGUGCGUGCAUGCUGGGGUUAAGGACUGCAUAAGUGAGCCGAUCUGUUAAUGGAACUGCCUGGGAAGGCAGGCCAGAGAGGGUGAAAGCCCCGUACAUGAAAACGGUAGGCAGCGGCAGGAUCCAGAGUACCGCGAGACACGAGAAACCUUGCGGGAAGUCGGAGGGACCACCCUCCAAGGCUAAAUACUCCUUAGUGACCGAUAGCGCAUAGUACUGUGAAGGAAAGGUGAAAAGGACCCCGGGAGGGGAGUGAAAGAGAACCUGAAACCCUGUGUUUACAAGCUGUGGGAGCACGUUAAGGUGCAACCGCGUACUUUUUGUAGAACGGUCCGGCGAGUUGCCGGUGCUGGCAAGGUUAAAUGGUACAGCCAUGGAGCCGAAGGGAAACCAAGUCUCAAAUGGGCGUAAAGUCAGCACAGGCAGACCCGAAACCGGGUGACCUAUCCAUGUCCAGGAUGAAGCGGAAGUAAAAUUCCGUGGAGGUCCGGAUCCACAUCCGUUGAAAAGGGUGGGAAUGAGGUGUGGAUAGGGGAGAAAUUCCAAUCGAACCCGGAGAUAGCUGGUUCUCCUCGAAAUAGCUUUAGGGCUAGCCCCGUAUUAGUUUAGCGGAGGUAGAGCACUGAAUUCCUAAGGGGGCGUCAAAGCUUACCAAGGGAUAUCAAACUCCGAAUGCCGCAUAAAUGAUGUACGGGAGUCAGACUGCACGAGAUAAGUUGGGCAGUCAAAAGGGAAAGAGCCCAGACCUACAGCUAAGGUCCCAAAGUGUGUGUUAAGUGGAAAAGGAUGUGGGAUUUCAGAGACAACUAGGAUGUUGGCUUAGAAGCAGCCACACAUUCAAAGAGUGCGUAAUAGCUCACUAGUCGAGAGGUCCUGCGCCGAAAAUGUCCGGGGCUAAAACACAACACCGAAGCUUAGGAAUGUAGUAAUACAUUGGUAGAGGAGCAUUCUUAAAGGAAUGAAGCAGUACCGGUAAGGAGCUGUGGACUUUUAAGAAGAGAGAAUGCCGGAAUGAGUAGCGAGAUGGAGGUGGGAAUCCUCCAGGCCGAAUAUCCAAGGUUUCCAGAGUAAAGCUGAUCUGCUCUGGGUAAGUCGGGGCCUAAGGUAAGGCUGAGAAGCGUAGCCGAUGGACAACAGGUUGAGAUUCCUGUACCGCGUAUCAUCAGAACUGUGGGGACACAGAAGGACAGCACAUCCCGGGAAUGGAAAGACCGGGGCAAGCAGGGUAGGAGUUAAGCUGGCAAAUCCGCUUAACAAUCCGAAGCUGUGAUGCGGAGCGAAUUUAAGUAGCGAAGUGUGCGAUUCCGGCUGUCAAGAAAAGCCGCUAUUGUGUGAUACGUGCCCGUACCGUAAACCGACACAGGUAGAUGAGGAGAGAAUCCUAAGGCCGGCGGGAGAAGCAUUGUUAAGGAACUCGGCAAAAUGACCCUGUAACUUCGGGAGAAAGGGUGCCUGGGAAACCAGGCCGCAGAGAAUAGGCUCAAGCAACUGUUUAGCAAAAACACAGGUCUAUGCAAAACCGUAAGGUGAGGUAUAUGGGCUGACGCCUGCCCGGUGCUGGAAGGUUAAGAGGAGGGGUUAGCGCAAGCGAAGCUCUGAAUUGAAGCCCCAGUAAACGGCGGCCGUAACUAUAACGGUCCUAAGGUAGCGAAAUUCCUUGUCGGGUAAGUUCC
This 1946-nucleotide ribosomal RNA is filed under the name human gut metagenome. RNAcentral's name for it is "bacterial LSU rRNA". It matches the Rfam family "Bacterial large subunit ribosomal RNA", at positions 3 to 1984 of the family's 2925-position model. The record is from RNAcentral.